UUUAGUCUCUAUGGACCAGGUGGUCAGUUGGUGAGGGCCACAGCAUAGUCCUUUAGUCUCUAUGGACCAGGUGGCCAGUUGGUGAGGGCCACAGCAUAGUCCUUUAGUCUCUAUGGACCAGGUGGUCAGUUGGUGAGGGCCACAGCAUAGUCCUUUAGUCUCUAUGGACCAGGUGGCCAGUUGGUGAGAGCCACAGCAUGGUCCUUUAGUCUCUAUGGACCAGGUGGCCAGUUGGUGAGAGCCACAGCAUAGUCCUUUAGUCUCUAUGGACCAGGUGGCCAGUUGGUGAGGGCCACAGCAUGGUCCUUUAGUCUCUAUGGACCAGGUGGUCAGUUGGUGAGGGCCACAGCAUAGUCCUUUAGUCUCUAUGGACCAGGUGGUCAGUUGGUGAGGGCCACAGCAUAGUCCUUUAGUCUCUAUGGACCAGAUGACCAGUUGGUGAGGGCCACAGCAUAGUCCUUUAGUCUAUAUGGACCAGGUGGCCAGUUGGUGAGGGCCACAGCAUAGUCCUUUAGUCUCUAUGGGCCAGGUGCCAGUUGGUGAGGGCCACAGCAUAGUCCUUUAGUCUCUAUGGGGCAGAUGGUCAGUUGGUGAGGGCCACAGCAUAGUCCUUUAGUCUCUAUGGGCCAGGUGCCAGUUGGUGAGGGCCACAACAUGGGGAAAGAAACUGUUCAUAUGGGGGUCUAUAACAUCUAAUCACAGCAUCUGACAGUUGCAACUUCAUUGCUAAUAACUGCCUUAUUUAUAUAAAGACAUCAUCUCUGUACAGAUGUAAGAUCUGAAUUUGAUCAACCUGUCACAGGAAAACUAAAAUGUGUACUAUAUUUGAGUGUAUUUAAAUAAAGCUUUAAAAAAGGUUUCUGAAGAUGAUAAAUU
This is a long non-coding RNA of Oncorhynchus tshawytscha (Chinook salmon), 876 nucleotides long. The record is from Ensembl. NCBI's taxonomy places the organism in Eukaryota, Metazoa, Chordata, Actinopteri, Salmoniformes, Salmonidae.